GUAAAUAAAAAAAAAGUAAUUAAGUUAGUAAAAAAACUAUCACGGAAUUGAGGGUGGAAGUGGUCUGGGUGCAAUACAGGGAUCUGUUUAUUGGACUACCUCAACCUCACAUUGGACAAUGAAUGGACACGCAGCAGUGUUUUGGUUGUCUCCUGGAAAGACUGCUUAACAUGUCGUGCAUGGUCUAAUUUUUCUUGUCAUGGACUGUCUAUUCUAUUGUAUUUAUUUAUUUAUUUAUUUAUUUUUUUAAGUAUAAUUCUAUCCUUAUUAUCUUAUUUUAGUGCCCUCACUCUGAUAUUUAAUUAUCAACACAAUACAGUUGUGUAUUUUAAUUUUGCCUCUGUUUGUUUGCUGUAAAAAUUAAAACUCAAUAAAGUUUGAGUC
Molecule: long non-coding RNA, 384 nt
Organism: Sander lucioperca (pikeperch)
Lineage: Eukaryota; Metazoa; Chordata; Actinopteri; Perciformes; Percidae
Exons: 2
Source: RefSeq, a predicted model, not a curated record